Molecule: transfer RNA, 3282 nt
Filed under: Heterocephalus glaber (naked mole-rat)
Lineage: Eukaryota; Metazoa; Chordata; Mammalia; Rodentia; Bathyergidae
Description: lncRNA (ENSHGLG00100043842.1)
Rfam family: tRNA (bases 552-624)
Source: RNAcentral
GUGCUCAGCGGGGCUCCAGAACUCCGGUGCCUCAUGAAAUGGACCGCUUCGACCCCCGCCCCGUUUCUCCUCACCUCCCCUUUCACUUCUUGAAUUUGUACAGCGGCUACUGAGGCACCUCGUCCUGCAAUCCAGGGCCCCACGGGCCUUCCGACCGACCUGCAAGCUCAAUCGACGUUGGCCCAACUUUCCUUUUGUCCACGUGGGAGCAGUAACAGGCUCCCCUUUUUCACCCAGCCUGGGAGUGUCAAUGGAGGCCUGGCCAUGGUCGGUGUAACCCUGAACCUCAACCCCACCUAGAACUGCCUUGAAGUCCCCUGCGCAGCAGCCACGAAGCUCCCAGCUGACGGCGUACAAUUCCCAACCCAUUUCUGCUGGCGGCACCGCAGGAUCUAAGGGAGGCAGCAUUGUCUCCUGGAAGUCUCCAAACGCAGGGUGCAGAAAGGUACAUCAAGAUGGCCACAUCUGUAUCAUUUUUUUUCUGGGACCACGACCAGCUCUAGCAUUUUGAUUAGCUGAUAGUUAAAUGACUUCAGUGAUAACUUGUAGUUGCCUGGCUAGCUCAGUUAAUAGAGCAUGAGACUCUUAAUCUCAGGGUUGUGGGUUUGAGGCCCCUGUUGGGUGCUCUUUUAACUUCAGACUUGCUGGUGGUAUAAGGAGACUGAUGGAAAGGAAGUAACUGACCAGUUCCUGUCAGCUGUACCCUAACAUCUCACCAUUAGCCCACCAAAGGUCCCCGUAAGCUGUUCCUGUCCUGCUUAAGAAACUUUAGAAACAAGUCUGAGAUUUAGAGCUAGAUGAUUUAUAGCAGAGCCAGGCUCUGCUACAACUGUGCAUCUGCAGAAGAGCCCUUGUGCAGUCUAGAAAGCAACUUUUGCUAGGACUUUCACUUUCAGAGAGAGGUGUUACUCCAGCAACUCCCUGGCCACAGGCACAGGUCAACAGCAGGAUGGAAUCCACCUGUUUGCUCUUUCCAGAAGGUGAAGGCAAAGCAGACCCCAACCACUCGCAACCAAAGGGAACCACUACCAAAAAGGAUCCCCUAAUGAAGGCUGGGCCUUUGUCACAUUGCUCACGGGAGCCAUCCUGUUUGUCCUUAAAAGGAGGACUUGUCAGCCAGGGAUUUAGCUCAGUGGUUCUGCCACCUGCUUCACAAGUACAAGGUCCUGAGUUCGAUCCCUGGUACCAAAAAAACCAAAAAAACAAAAAACUAGGGGUUGUCUAGGAUUUGAACUUGGGACAGGUUUCACCCUAAGUGAGAAUCACACCCCUAGAUCAACAGGCUAGUAACAGGCUCUUGUUACCCUAGGUAAGCUUACUCAGGCUGAUUUCCAAUUGUCAGUUUCUAUCAGCUGUCCCCUUUCUUGCUAUUGUCAGCCUAUAAUUCCCUGGAGCUCCCCAGCUUCUUUCACCUGCCCCUUCAGGCCCAAGGACUCUCCUCCAGGAAUGCAAACCUUACAUGGGAGCUUAGGUGCCACCCAGGAGGGCCCUGCAGAGGGUGGGGGGCUUAAGUGGAAGAAAUCGGGCAGCUCUUCAGAAGACAGCCUCUCCAUCCUCUUCAUACACCUGCAAACCUGGUUUCAGUGCCCAGGCCCAGUCUGGCCACUGAGGUCCAACUCAAAUCUGGUUCACCAUGUGCUGGUCCUAUCUCCCAUCUAUUCCCACAGGUCUGCUGGGGACUCCAUCCAUGCCAUCAAUUGACCAGAAAAGCAAAUGUAGCUCCUCUGGGCUUUGAAGCCAAAUAGAGUACAAGAUCUGGUUCCCAGGGACAUUCCUCCUCUGUGUAAUCUAUCCCUUAAACUAUCUGCUUUUCAUUCACUAGACAAAUGGUGGCUGAGUGUCGCUAGAGGCAGGGCCUGACUCUGUAGAGGGGACAGAACCCAGCAGCAACCUAAUGGAAGGGAUUAGGUCCUGCACGAAGGAGCGAUGCCACAGAUUUGGAAGUGGCACUCUUCAGCUAAUGGGACUGAUAAUGGUUUUGCCCUAAAGAGCAAGAGUCUUAAUAUGUUCAGGCUCGGGAAAAGGGAUUGGAGAGGAUCCUGGUUACUCAGGGACCAGUGAGGGCUCCUCGGGCAAUUUAGUGGGCCCAGGUUCUGAGCAAAUGACCUGACUGUGGUUAGGAGCCUGAGGGUCAGGAGCAUGAAAGGGACCCCCAGCACAUAAGACCCUGCGAUUAAGAAGAAAGAUUUGUGUACGGUAUGGUGGCACAUGCCUGUAAUCCCAGCAUUUGGGAGGCUGAGUCAGGAAGAUCUCUUUGAGUUCAAGGACAUCCUGGGUUACAUAGUGAGUUCAAGGCCAGACUGAACUACACAGCAAGACCCAGUGUGAGAAAGAAGGGAGAGAGAGCGAGAGAGAGCGCUAUGUGUUUAGGCCAGAGGCAAUGCCCACUGGUGAAGUGGGUACAUACUCUGGAGCUCUCACUCUGUGCUCAGCUCACCUGACAGGGACAGUAAUCUGCAGGUCUACUUGACUCUAGGACCCAGAUUGGGUCAUUCUUCCCAGCUUGAGAGGCCCCAAAGUUGCCAAAACCCUCAGUCCCUGACAUAAUUAACCAUCUCUUAUUUUUUGCAUUCUGAUGCUUUGACCUGGGGGCUUCAUUGGCUGUGAAGAGACCACACCUCCUAGGUGAGCCAGUUCCUAGAGAUAGCAAACAAUUCCUCCAGGACUGUACAUCUUCAAAUGCAAACUCACCAAACCAAAACCCACCCUCGCCUACCCCCAGUGACCCCCUUUAUGGGGUCCUCACCCAUUGGCUACUGUCCAUCUGCCCUAGUCACCGAGGGCCAGGUACUAGACAACUAGGGAGAGUUCCAUGCCCCAGAGAUACUGAAAUUACUCAAACCAGCCAAUCCAAACCUGCUUACUUCCUGGUUGGCUCCUUCCAGGAAAACCACUGUACAGGCUCCUGAUUAUCUCUCCUCCCAUCUGCUCACCCUCACUUUGUUUUGGAGCCUAUGGUGGUAUGCCCCCACCUCUUGAAAACUGGGAGCAACAAAAAAAAAUUUGUUUUUUCAACAGCAGUGUCUUCUCCUCUGCUGGCCUCACUGUACCAGGAUUAACAUAACCUAUUAAAGCGUUGCCUCUCUUCUAACGUGGAGAAUAGACCCAUGUCUGGAGCACAGCCGCCCCAUCCUCUGGCUCCUUUCCUCCUCUUUGUUGUGGAAGGCGCCUCUGACAGCCCCUCCAAAGAAAAAGGCACACCUGUGAUGCCAGUACUCUGGGGUUACGGGAGGAGGAUCACAAAUUGGAGCCCAGCCUGGAUUUAGAGACUUGGGAGACCCU